UCAGUAGCGAAGUGGAUAACGCGAUGGCGUUUGAAGCGAACGGUACUGGAUUCGAGUCCCAGAGUGA
This 67-nucleotide transfer RNA is filed under the name Schistosoma mansoni. The record is from RNAcentral. Lineage: Eukaryota; Metazoa; Platyhelminthes; Trematoda; Strigeidida; Schistosomatidae.